GUCCAGGGAUGGGAAUCGAACCCACAGUGUUCCGCUGUAACCUCUCUCCCUACUGUUGACUAGAUGUCUAUAAACUAUUUUUAAUUAUCAAUUGUUACAGUGUUCCGCUUACUGGGCAGAUGCCAUGUCCACUAGGCUACCCUGGA
This is a non-coding RNA of Cordylochernes scorpioides, 146 nucleotides long. NCBI's taxonomy places the organism in Eukaryota, Metazoa, Arthropoda, Arachnida, Pseudoscorpiones, Chernetidae. The record is from the annotation of a GenBank genome assembly.